GAUGAAGAACGUAGCAAAUGCGAUACUUGGUGUGAAUUGCAGAAUCCCGUGAACCAUCGAGUCUUUGAACGCAAGUUGCGCCCGAAGCCAUUAGGCCGAGGGCACGCCUGCCUGGGCGUCACACGUCGUUGCCCCCCCAUCUACUCCUUCGGGAUUGCGGGGGGCGGAUGAUGGCCUCCCGUGCGCCUCGUCGCGCGGUUGGCAUAAAUGCCAAGUCCUCGGCGACACACGCCACGACAAUCGGUGGUUGCGAAACCUCGGUUGCCCGUCGUGUGCGGUCGUCGCGCAUCGAGGGCUCGAAAAAAUUGCCGGGCUCCGGCUCGGCUUUCAACGCGACCCCAGGUCAGGCGGGGUUACCCGCUGAAUUUAAGCAUAUCAAUAAGCGGAGGA
RNAcentral lists this unclassified non-coding RNA (390 nucleotides) under soil metagenome. RNAcentral describes it as "partial contains 5.8S ribosomal RNA, internal transcribed spacer 2, and large subunit ribosomal RNA". The stretch from base 1 to 121 matches the Rfam family "5.8S ribosomal RNA", at positions 35 to 154 of the family's 154-position model. The record is from RNAcentral.